AGGUUAAGUUAUGAAGGGCGCAUGGUGAAUGCCUUGGUACUAGGAGCCGAUGAAGGACGGGACAAACACCGAUAUGCUUCGGGGAGCGGUAAGUACGCUUUGAUCCGGAGAUUUCCGAAUGGGGAAACCCAAGCACCUUAGUCGGUGCUUGCUUGACCAGUGAAUCUAUAGCUGGCAAGCGGUAGACGCAGUGAACUGAAACAUCUCAGUAGCUGCAGGAAGAGAAAGAAAAUUCGAUUCCCUGAGUAGCGGCGAGCGAAAGGGGAGGAGCCCAAACCAGUGAGCUUGCUCACUGGGGUUGUAGGACUGAACAUUUGAGUUACCAAAGUGCGACGUAGUCGAAACAGUUGGGAAGCUGUGCCAGAGAAGGUGAGAGCCCCGUAGACGAAACGUCACACCCUCAGUUCAGGAUCCUGAGUACGGCGGGACACGUGAAACCCCGUCGGAAGCAGCGAGGACCAUCUCGCAAGGCUAAAUACUACCUAGUGACCGAUAGUGAACCAGUACCGUGAGGGAAAGGUGAAAAGCACCCCGGAAGGGGAGUGAAAUAGUUCCUGAAACCAUGUGCCUACAAGCUGUCGG
Molecule: ribosomal RNA, 582 nt
Filed under: Limosilactobacillus pontis
Lineage: Bacteria; Bacillati; Bacillota; Bacilli; Lactobacillales; Lactobacillaceae
Description: bacterial LSU rRNA
Rfam family: Bacterial large subunit ribosomal RNA
Source: RNAcentral